UCCAGACUCCUACGGGAGGCAGCAGUGGGGAAUCUUCCGCAAUGGGCGAAAGCCUGACGGAGCAACGCCGCGUGAUCGAAUGAAGGCCUUCGGGUUGUAAAGAUCUGUUGACAGGGACGAAUAAGCAAUGCGAAUAGUUUUGUGUAUGACGGUACCUGUUUAGAAAGCUCCGGCUAACUACGUGCCAGCAGCCGCGGUAAUACGUAGGGAGCAAGCGUUGUCCGGAAUUACUGGGCGUAAAGGGAGCGCAGACGGCAGUGCAAGUCUGGAGUGAAAGCCCGGGGCCCAACCCCGGGACUGCUCUGGAAACUGUACGGCUAGAGUACGGGAGGGGCAGGCGGAAUUCCUAGUGUAGCGGUGAAAUGCGUAGAUAUUAGGAGGAACACCGGCGGCGAAGGCGGCCUGCUGGACCGAAACUGACGUUGAGGCUCGAAAGCGUGGGGAGCAAACAGGAUUAGAUACCCCAGUAAAC
This 472-nucleotide ribosomal RNA is filed under the name uncultured bacterium. RNAcentral describes it as "bacterial SSU rRNA". It matches the Rfam family "Bacterial small subunit ribosomal RNA", at positions 330 to 795 of the family's 1533-position model. The record is from RNAcentral.